AGGCCAUGAUGCUCUCUGAGCCUG
Molecule: microRNA, 24 nt
Filed under: Equus caballus (horse)
Lineage: Eukaryota; Metazoa; Chordata; Mammalia; Perissodactyla; Equidae
Description: eca-miR-9112
Source: miRBase by way of RNAcentral